This 449-nucleotide ribosomal RNA is filed under the name uncultured bacterium. Its description in RNAcentral is "partial 16S ribosomal RNA". It matches the Rfam family "Bacterial small subunit ribosomal RNA", at positions 29 to 523 of the family's 1533-position model. The record is from RNAcentral.
AACGAACGCUUGCGGCAUGCCUAAUACAUGCAAGUCGAACGAGAUCUUCGGAUCUAGUGGCGCACGGGUGCGUAACGCGUGGGAACCUGCCCUUGGGUUCGGAAUAACGUCGGGAAACUGACGCUAAUACCGGAUGAUGACGUAAGUCCAAAGAUUUAUCGCCCAAGGAUGAGCCCGCGUAGGAUUAGCUAGUUGGUAAGGUAAAGGCUUACCAAGGCGACGAUCCUUAGCUGGUCUGAGAGGAUGAUCAGCCACACUGGGACUGAGACACGGCCCAGACACAUACGGGAGGCAGCAGGAGGGAAUAUUGGACAAUGGGCGAAAGCCUGAUCCAGCAAUGCCGCGUGAGUGAUGAAGGCCUUAGGGUUGUAAAGCUCUUUUACCCGGGAUGAUAAUGACAGUACCGGGAGAAUAAGCCCCGGCUAACUCCGUGCCAGCAGCCGCCGCCG